RNAcentral lists this non-coding RNA (30 nucleotides) under Homo sapiens (human). The record is from RNAcentral. Lineage: Eukaryota; Metazoa; Chordata; Mammalia; Primates; Hominidae.
UGUUGGACUGAAGUGUACAAGUAGAUGGGU